This 2574-nucleotide long non-coding RNA is filed under the name Monomorium pharaonis (pharaoh ant). RNAcentral's name for it is "uncharacterized LOC118645227". The record is from RNAcentral. Lineage: Eukaryota; Metazoa; Arthropoda; Insecta; Hymenoptera; Formicidae.
AUGCAUAAAAUUAUUUAAAGAAGAUCAGAAUAUUACGUGUAUUUAAAAUAUAUAUUAAAAUAUAUAUUAAAGUAUAUAAAAUUGCAAAUGCCAUUUUGAAAUCAGACGGGAAUUAUAGAUUUAAAAUUAAUGGCUAAAAUUAAUAAAAUAUGUAUAGCCAUUAAUAACAAUAUGUAUAUCAUGUUCAGUUGGACGUCAUUGAAUUCAAAUAACAUUUUUAUCGAACUUCUUCAAUCUCUCUCACAAUCAGUAGAAUAGAAGAGGACUUACCUCACAAGCGACGCCGACGUUGCGAACGAAUUCGCGAAGUGAAGCGUAGAUAAAAGGACAUUCAUGGCGGUUGAUUCAGCGACACGGGGAGCGGGCGGAAUUCGGAGUCUGUUUUAUUAUACGCGACGAAUAUCUUAGUACGCGCGUGUGGCGCUUCGGGGCGCUUGACGCGCUGUUCAUGUACACUCAUUAUCCUUCGCGGCGAUCGUGACGGGACGGGAAGGAGCGUGCCAUGAAGCAUCGUUCACUCUACAUUGACGUCUCGUAUUGAAUAUCUAUCUCUCGAGGUCAGGUAUUCGGCAAGAUUCACUCGUUCAAAACCGAGAACCGUAGGGAUUACCGUGAUAGAAAUAAUUAUUGCUUUAUCGUACUCACGAAGUGUCGGGAAUCCAUCUCGAAUGAUCGGACAGUCCGAGAAUAAUCGUGAAUGUUGACACCAUAAAUAAUAUGUGCGUCUCGCCGGGAUUUAUACCGAAAAUAAAUAUGCGCACACUCGGAAUCUCGUUCAUAUAUACUCGUAUAUGCGAUGCCUUGCGUCGGAAUGUUGACACACGUCGUCGUAUCGCGUGAUAUCAGAGUGAAGUUGGCGUCAUUCUCACCUCUUCUGACCGUUAACGGAAGGUCAGAGGGUACGAGGCAGAAUAGUCUCCGAGUCAAGCGACGCGUUUAAUCAGCAAGGUACAGUCGUAAUUAGCCUCUCGCGUUUUAGCAGUCAUCUACCGCGUGAUGCAAAUUUGAUGUUUGUACGUCGGUAAUUUGUUAAAACGCCCAUUCGGCGAGAUACACUCGGACGAGCGCGGCAUUACGGACGUCUCGUGGACAAUUAUCAUUAAUUGUCGACUCGCGCGUGUUUGUUCUCCCUCACUCGUAUCGCACAACGCAAAAUAACAGAGACGACGACAACGACGACGACGACGACGACGACGACGACGACGAGGAGGAAAAGUCCGAAAGGGCGGGUUAAGAGCGGUGUAAACGUAGACUGAUAGACGUUGCGUUGCAUUGGCACGGCGGCGCGGGCGGGCGGGCGGGAGGCGCGUGAAGUUGGCCGCGCGUUUCCCGAAUUCCCACUGUCGCGUCACGUCGCGUCGUUCGAGAUUCGGCUGUUACGCCAACUUGGGUGACGCCGCGCGGGUGUGGAGCGGAUCGCGGUAUCGUGCAGAAUCGUGACUCUUUCGCGUCACUCCCUCGUCGUGUCGUGGUAAAGCGCGCGCGUCGGCUGCGGUUAAUGUCGGGAGUGUCGCGCGAUCGUCGUACUCUGGUGAUCCCGGCGCGUACGGUCGUAAUUAACUCGCGCUGUCGCGACCGUUGUGUUAGUGUUCACGGAAGAGUCAGCCAGCCACCCAGCCAGCCAGUCAGCCAGCUAUGGAACGCGAGAGGAGGAAGCGGCCCGGGGCGGCAUCGGGCAACGGCGGAGCAACCAUUGGAUUAACAUUCGUAUUACAACUCCGCUGCUGCGCAUCGUAUCGGUGAAUAACGAAUUUUUUUAUUUCAAUUGAAGCUAAUGGAUCCAUGACAGUAUCAUAUAUGUGUAAUUAAUAAUUCAAGUUAUAUAUGUGAGUAUAAUAGCAUAAUGAGUAUAAUAGUACAAUAAAUAUAACAUAAGUAAUAAUAUUUCGAUAAUCUUAAAAUGGAUGGACUAAGGAAAAUUUGUACAAAUAUUUAAUCCUAAAAUAUUGAAGAUCCAUCGAUUAUUUUUCGUGCAUAAAAUGCAAAAUUAAAAUUAUUACAAAUUAAAUUAUUACGAAUUUAAUAAGUUUAUUUUCUAAAUCGAAUUUUGUGUAAAAAAAAUACUAAUAUGUCAAUAUUUUUUUAAAGACAGUUUAAUAUUAAGGCUACAUUUUAAUGUGAGAGAUUUAAGAAAUAGUGGAAAUAAUGGCAUAUUAUAUGAUAGAAAUAUGAAUAUUAUUUGUUAAAAAAAAAUAUAUAUGUAUAUCUUACAAUGCGCACGCGAUAGUUGUAUACAUUCAUGGAGAUACAAACGUUAUGGACCGACAUUGAGUAGAAUCGUUGCAUUCCAUAACGUCCUGAUGUCUCCAUUCGUAAGUUAUGGGAUUCCAAAGUGUGCAAGAGUGAAUUCCGCCACUUGGAGCAAGAUCAGCGGCUAACUUUCACGCACCAUCGUAAAUCCACUCUUGUACUUCGAAACUCCGUAACUCACGAUCGAAUCAUCGGUAUGAUACAUUAUGGUGUGCCACAUCGGGAUUCCCACUAUGAUCUCUGGUCUAUGACUUCUAUGGCACGCUAAAAAUACGUGCUCCAAGAGAAUGAUAUGUAUUCGCCAACCGUGCCGCCGUCUCCAAA